This is a non-coding RNA of Misgurnus anguillicaudatus (oriental weatherfish), 921 nucleotides long. Lineage: Eukaryota; Metazoa; Chordata; Actinopteri; Cypriniformes; Cobitidae. The record is from RefSeq and is a predicted model, not a curated record.
AACUAUGUACAGGAGGUUUCGGGUUGGAGGAGGUGGAGGUCAGUUACAGCUAAAGAGGAGGCAUCAGGAGCAGGAGGAGGUAUGAAGAACAAACAGUCCUUUUGUUUUGUUCACAGCAUUGGUCUUCUCCUGACCUUUGACUUGAGGUUGAGCAGCUCCACCGGUACCAUUAGAACAUGCUUUUUCGCAAGGUGCUUCCUGCAGUUUUGGAGCUUCUAGCUGAACUUCAUCCGUUUCACUCUGACUCUCCGUCUCCAACAUCUCUACAGUUUUUUCCAUCCAACAAAAGGUUGGAUAACUUUUCGUCCCCGCCUUUGGUCUUCGCCGGCAUCCGUUAUCCUUCAGCUCAGAUUGAGAGAUGAACUGCACAUCAUCAUCUUCAACACACCCGCUGUCUUCAUACUCAAUGUCCAUUAGGAUGUCAGUGAGUUGUGGAGUGAGGUCAGACUGGGAUGAAGUAGUUGACAGUGUUAUCACCUCAGUAUAUUCAACAUCUGAGUUAAGCAGAGCAGAUCCAACUGGCAGUGGAUUUGACUCUAAAGAAUGAAAGGACAAAAAAGAGUUAAGGUGCUGAAGCAAAGUAAGCAACAUCUAACACCAGCAGCUCAGACACUGAAGAAUAAAAGCAUUUGACCUCCUCAUGUGCUGGAGCUGAUGUACGUGGAGCAACUGGUGUUGGCAAAGAAGAUGGAGACAGUCUGAAUGUUUCAAGCUCAAAAGACAACACAGUUUUAUCUUGCAGCUUUCUUCAGCUUUGUCUUCUGAGUAUCUUGAGGAUUUGGACUGAAUGACGCACUUCCAACCGGCAGUUCACUGGACCCUAAAGAAAGAAGGAAUGGAGAGAGUUGUAAAGUUUUUACCUCAACACACAAUAGAGUUGUAUAAUAUCACAUCUUUGUAAUCUUAAACUGUUACCUUCAU